RNAcentral lists this ribosomal RNA (458 nucleotides) under uncultured bacterium. RNAcentral's name for it is "partial 16S ribosomal RNA". It matches the Rfam family "Bacterial small subunit ribosomal RNA", at positions 338 to 795 of the family's 1533-position model. The record is from RNAcentral.
CCUACGGGCGGCAGCAGUGAGGAAUAUUGGUCAAUGGGCGAGAGCCUGAACCAGCCAAGUCGCGUGAGGGAGUACUGCCCUAUGGGUUGUAAACCUCUUUUGUCGGGGAGCAAAAGCCGGACGUGUCCGGCUGUGAGAGUACCCGAAGAAAAAGCAUCGGCUAACUCCGUGCCAGCAGCCGCGGUAAUACGGAGGAUGCGAGCGUUAUCCGGAUUUAUUGGGGUUAAAGGGUGCGCAGGCGGAUUUUUAAGUCAGCGGUCAAAUCGUGGGGCUCAACCCCAUCCAGCCGUUGAAACUGGGGAUCUAGAGUGUGCGAGAGGUAUGCGGAAUGCGUGGUGUAGCGGUGAAAUGCAUAGAUAUCACGCAGAACCCCGAUUGCGAAGGCAGCAUACCGGUGCACAACUGACGCUCAGGCACGAAAGCGUGGGUAUCGAACAGGAUUAGAUACCCUGGUAGUC